UCCAUUGUUUCGGUAGCUGGAAAGAUGUGAUUUGAUUGCUUUGGCCUUGCGAGGUGUAGGGAGGGACGUUUGCUCGCUGCUCGUUCAUUCGGCUUGGUACUGGAAGGCGUGCCUGUCACGUCCGCUUCAUUUAGUGCCCUAAAUUACAGACAUGCCAAGGAUGCUGAUGGUGUCGAUGGCCUUCUGGUGAACCUCCUGCAAGGUACUGGAGAAGGAGCCAGGUUUGCCCUGUUUAAGAUGGCUGAUGGAGACGUGGACUCCCAGGAAGAUGGGGAGUAGCGCCUGCUCCCGCCACAGGACGAUGUCAGCUUCAACACCG
Long non-coding RNA from Osmerus eperlanus (European smelt), 319 nucleotides. RefSeq lists it as uncharacterized. The record is from RefSeq and is a predicted model, not a curated record. The transcript is spliced from 3 exons. Lineage: Eukaryota; Metazoa; Chordata; Actinopteri; Osmeriformes; Osmeridae.